AAAGGUGACGAAAGUGCUGGUGUACACCUCUUCCCAUUCCGAACAGAGUAGUUAAGCCCAGUAGCACCGAUGGUACUUCAGUAAUAUGCGGGAGAGUAGGUGGUCGCCAUUU
This 112-nucleotide ribosomal RNA is filed under the name Amoebophilaceae bacterium. Lineage: Bacteria; Pseudomonadati; Bacteroidota; Cytophagia; Cytophagales; Amoebophilaceae. The record is from RNAcentral.